CAAUCUCCCUCGUCUCCACUCUCCACAAACCCUAGCAUUAGGCGACGACUGCGAGACUCGGCUAUCAUCGAAUAGAGCAGCUGCCACGAGGACGAAGGCUUAAGCGCAGGCGAUGAGGACGAACAGCAGCGACGACCACCAUCGGAGAGAGAAGCUUCGACGACGAACAGCGGAGGUGACGAUGAAGGGCUUGAGCGCCGGCGACGAAUGAGGAGUAAUAGCGUUGUCGACCAGCCUAGCGGCGUGAGCGGACCGGUGGCGACCUCCAGCAGCUACGGAAGCGUCGGCGGCGAGGAUAGGCGCCACAUCUCCGGCAGCGUUCGUGUUCCCAGGGUGUGUUCCAUUACGCCUAAAAGUCUAAACUAAUCGUAGAAUGUGAAGUCUUUGGUUUUAUCUUUAGAGCAGAUACUUGGAAUGCUUAUCAAGCUUGUCAAGGAUAUAAAGGCAUAAAGCUACAACAUCAGCAUAAAUAUGGAUCACCAAGCUAGCUAGCUCUACUAAUUAAAACAAAUAAAUUAGAUAUACCAAAGGACAAGCUAGCAUAUUUUUGAUUAAAGGAACUCAAGGAUGUUCACAACUUGGUGUAUCAAAGCAAGGAAGGAAGUAGGUCUUACAAAUUUGAAAGUUUUACAAAUCUCAUCCAGCAAGGUAACUGAUUGUGGUGUUACUUUUCUGCAAGGUUGUGGAUCCUUGUGAAGAUUUAACUAUGAAGAUAUUCGAAUUGCCAUACUAAAUGCAACUCAAAGGUCGUGUCUCAUCACAACUGUCCAACCUUAUCUUCGCCCCCUUUAAUUUUUCUUUGGUUAUAAUUCAUCUCCUUGUGGUUAUGAAGACAGACUUUAAUGUCAUGGAGGGUUGAAAGUUAUAAUGAAGAAAUAAUAUGUAUUAUGUAAUGAGCCAGCUAGAGAAUAAGUUAAUAAUUGAGUUUUGUUGAGUUUUAACUAGAUAAUUUUUACAAGUUAAUAGUUUUUAACUUAAAGUGAUGUAAUUUUUAUUUUUGGAAUUGCAAUUUUGAAUUUUACUGCAUAUGAACUAUGAAUGUUGAUUAUAUAGUUUCGUUAUAGAUGAUUAUUAGUUAA
Ipomoea triloba (trilobed morning glory) is the source of this 1079-nucleotide long non-coding RNA. RefSeq lists it as uncharacterized. The record is from RefSeq and is a predicted model, not a curated record. The transcript has 7 exons. NCBI's taxonomy places the organism in Eukaryota, Viridiplantae, Streptophyta, Magnoliopsida, Solanales, Convolvulaceae.